GAAGGCAUCCGAAAAAACUCAUCUCCUUCUCUCUCAUAAUCUGUGUAAUAUCUCUUUCGCAUUGUAAUCCAUGUUUUGAUGUUCUCAAUAAAAGCUCUAUUAUUAGCAAUCCUCAACAAAGGAACAUCCCCAAAAUGAGACAGUAUACAGGACCAAACGCAAAAAUGCAGAUCAACAUCUCCCAAACUCCAAAAAGGUCCUCAAACCGAGGCAUCAUCAAAUAGCUUAUCUUGCCCCACAAAACUGUAGCACAACUACGCAGUAUCUUGAUCCUCUGAUAAGUAUUGAUACUCAACUUCCGAAACAACUCAAAAUUGAACACAAAUAUUUUCCAGGUUGUCUUCAAACUCAUUAUCAAACCUAGAAAAAACCCCAAAAUCUCACUUCCUACAACACCUUUUCAAACUCAUCAUCAAUAUCACUUUCCACUCUCUCUUAUUCCCAUAAAAAUCAAGAAAAGUUCAAGAAUCCAUAUUUAAAAACUCACCCACAACUUACUGGACACGCAUCAAAGAGGAGACACCUUACCCACAAUUCACGCGGAGGUUCCUAGCCAAGAACGAGACCAAAGAGGAGGCACUUCGCUGAAAGAAUCUCUACUUCAUCAGCGUUGUCUCCGCCGUCGUCAAGAACCCCUUCUUCAAUCCAUAUAUGUUCGUCCUUCCUUUGUCAGAUCCAGAUCUGAUCGCAACAAGGGAUAUACUGUAACAAGGUCCUUCCUUCCCAUGUCUGUUCGUUCUUAUUCUUGUAAUUAUGCAACUGACUUUGAAUUAAUUGAUUACCAGGGCUGAAGUUCUGUGCUUGUGUGUUAGAGCAUCCAAAAAAAAACUACUUGUAACAUGGAUUCGCAAUAUGGUUAUGUGCAAUUGGCUCAAAGGAAUUUCAUUGAAAGUUGUACUUGACUUGAGGAAUCAACACUUAAAGAAUUAGGCUAGAUUAACCAUAUAAUGAUCCAUGAAAUUCCAUAUACUCUCUUUUAUCUAAAGCAUAUAACUUGUUUUGGUGAAGCUAAACCCAAGUGUUUGCUCUUAACAUAAUUUAUUCUUUGAUUAUGAAAACUAAGCUCUCUACCAAUCAAAUUUAUAAAUUUUCUUUA
This is a long non-coding RNA of Lotus japonicus, 1096 nucleotides long. RefSeq lists it as uncharacterized. The transcript is spliced from 2 exons. NCBI's taxonomy places the organism in Eukaryota, Viridiplantae, Streptophyta, Magnoliopsida, Fabales, Fabaceae. The record is from RefSeq and is a predicted model, not a curated record.